This is a long non-coding RNA of Numida meleagris (helmeted guineafowl), 3399 nucleotides long. RefSeq lists it as uncharacterized. The transcript has 4 exons. Lineage: Eukaryota; Metazoa; Chordata; Aves; Galliformes; Numididae. The record is from RefSeq and is a predicted model, not a curated record.
GUCACGGCCCGCCCGGCACCACGCUCACCGCCGCGCACCGCCCCUGGCAACGCCUGCCUGCCGACGGGACGCAUGACACUCCGGAAAGGGUUCCUGUUCCUGUGGUGCUCACCAGGGAGCAAUUUUAUUUCCCUCAUGCCCACUGGGGAUGCAGAGAGGCAGCCCGAGGGGUUACCAGCAGCACAGCUUCCACCACAGGUCCCCGAGAGAGGUUAAUCACAUCACCACAUGAGCUACGAGUACAUGAGCCACUACAGCAAGCUGCAGCACCCAAACAUCCAGGACAGCCAAUGCAACGCACAGGCACUGACCAGCACCAAGUCUUAUAAACUGAGAAAGUGUUGAUGCAGCGAUUGCAGAAUUUAUUAUUUGGAGCAACGUAAUGUUACCAAGAACAUUUCACACAGAUUUAGUCCAGGAUACAGAGUCUUCAUAUUGAUAACAUCACUUUCACGGAAGCACUGAGUGGCAAGUCUAAAGGGAAAACUAAUGGCCAGGAGCAAGCACGGAAGGGUGGAAGGAAACCCGAGGCCCAGCCCUGCCAGAUCUAUCCCUACACAAGGAGCCCCUAUAGGCACAGGCGAGUCUGCUCACUGCAGGAAGCUGAGGCACUGCUCAUGGAGGAAAUGGCACCACUGAGCCACAACCAUCACAGGAACUCACAGUGAAGGCUACAUGGAUAUCUUACGUUUAAAACAGAACUUUCUAACUGAGAUAAACCUACAUGUUAUGAAAACAGAUGUUUGAGUUUGGAUUUAUGAUAACCAAAGCCACCAAAAACCCUGUUUAUUUCAGAGGCUGAAGUUCAUUGCUUACGCAGGACUCCUGGCAGCCUUCAUCCCUGCAGACUCUGUGGAUGCUGACCUUGUUUCCCUGGACCAAUACAUGUUUCCCUUCCUGCAGUGCCACAGGUUCCAUCUCUAACCCCAUUCCUUCCUUCUUCGUUCUGCUCCCUCCCCAGCUUCCUGGUCUCUUCUUCCUUUAUUCUGUACAUUAACAAAGAAAGCAGUCAGCUUAAGUACUGGUCAGCUUGUUUAGUUAAAUGAGCUUCUAAUUAAAACAAGUAAUAACAAUUCCCCUUCCUCCCCUCAAAAUAAGGCGUAUACAAGCAAUAAUUUUCAGUACUCUUGUUAUUUAAAAUACAAGUAUUCCAAAGAAAGCUUCUAUUCUGUGUUGCAGCAAAUGCCACACACGCUCUCUUUAGGCUUUUUCCUUUAAUUAAGCUUGCUCUUGGAGCAUUUCUAGUCUUGUUCAAUCUCAGUCUUCCCUCCCAGGAGGCAUUUUAGACUACUGCAUGCUUUCCUGAACCCUUCCUAAAGCCCUGCAACAGACAAGUCAUCAUUGAAGUUGGUACAAUGCUGGCAAUAUGAAAGGCAUCUAUCUGAAGACAUGCUUCUUUUUAUGGGAUCAACUAAACUGAUCCAAGUUGCAUUUCUAGACACAGCCUAGGACCAAUUCUAUGGCUAAAUUUCAUAAAACAGAAAAUACUCUUUUGUCCUUACAAUUAAUUCACAUCCUUAGGAUAUGCCUUGAUCAAGCACAAUGCACAAUGUCUGCACAGACUGACAGCGGAUGAGCGAAAUAACUCCAACACAGGUUCUCCUUAACACCAUCAGCUCUGGAGGCAGUGCCCAUCCAGCUGGUGCCAUGAGGCAGCACUGCAGAGAACACAGUGUCUGUGAGCACAGCUCCAGGAAGCACCAUCUGCUUCUGGGAAGCUUUGGGGAAAACCCCAAAUGGAGAAGUUGAGUAGGAGCAGGAUCUUCAUUUUAAACAAUCUCACUCUGCAGAUGAGUAGAAAGCAAUAGUCCAGGGUUGUUGUUCUUGGGCACCCCUCCAUUUCCUGCUGUGCUAAGUGCAGUGCUGAAGACCCUGGCCAAGGCAGGAGGAACCAGCAAGGAGCAUCAGCAAGCUUAAAGCAUGCACAACAGGGUGAUGGAAGAGAAAAGACUGACAGGAACAGCAUUUAGGAAUGAAGGGAAAGAAACAAACACACAAGAACCACAUAAAGAAACAAAAGGUACUGAAGUGAACUAACAAAAAAGGAUGGAAAACAAGACAAUCAACUCCAUUUUCUUUCUUGAACUAUACCAGAACCAAAGUGAAGUCUUCACAUUUCCGAACAAAUAGUAUAGCACCGCACAUGUUGCAGGACUAGGUCCAAGAGGUUACUUAUUUCUUCUCAGACGCUCAGUAGUUCCAGAGCUUAGAAAUUCCCUUCAGCUCAACUGCAGGAAUCCAUGAGCUCUGUGGAUUGUGCGCAGAUGCACAAAUGUGUCUGAUGAUAUAUGGGCACAUAUUUUCUAGCUUCUGACGAGGUAAUUGCUGUGUCAGAAACCAACUGGUAUCAGUGAGCUCAUGACCUUGCUGCUGGGAAAGUGAUGACAGUGAAGAUUAUCACCACUGUCUUUUCUUAAAAAUGAGAAAGGGGAAUGGACAUGUUCUUAAAAAGUCCUGAUGAGAUCAAACAUGACACACUGGAGAUUUACAGACUUACAAACGGGUGGCAGGGCCUUCUAAGGGACCAAUAUCAGGAAAGAUGCCAUGUAAGAAGCAUGCCAACACACCCAGGUUGACAUCCAGCCCUCCUCCUGCUGUUAGCACCAGUUUCAGCUUUAUUGCUCCCAGCAGAGAACAUCACUGGGUUUUUAGCCUUCAAGGUGCAUCUCAGGCAUCACCAAGAUCAAUGUCGGUAAUUCCUCUGGGAAAAACUGCCACAGCAUGAGGUUUAAUGACAAAGAAACAAACCAACAGACAAGUUUUUUUUUUCAUUACAGAUAGCGCCCAAUAGUCUUGCAUGAUACGUUCAGUUGAAUAUAUGAUCUGGUGACCAUUUACACCUGCUGUCUCGAGGACAACAUUAAGAAAUGAAAUCUGAGAUUUUGCUUUCAUAUUCUGUAAGGGCUACAUUCCAGUUUCAAGAGCACGGAUUCAUUGUUGGUUAAGGGCAGAAACUCUGUGCCCAAAACCGACACAUAGCCUCUGAGCAGAGCUGAAAAGCUGUACAACUUACAAGUGAUGAGACCUCAUGCAUCUCAUAGUGACCACUUCAGGCAGAACUGCUCUGCAGAUUGUUCCUCUCAUUGAGGUUUGUUUAGUCACUAGUGGCUUUGUGUAAUAACAACUUCUCAGUAUUAUCUUCUGCAAAAUAAGGACACGGCAGCAUUCAUGCCCUUAGAGAACCCCAUAUGCAAAUGUCAACAUACUACAAACAUAAACUCACUCCAACAGUUCCCCACACAAAUGCACUUAGUUGUAAAGCACUGUGGGCAGUCCCAUAUAAAAACCACUGCAGUUUGGGGUGCUGACUGUUUCUCAUGCACUUAUUUAUUUAUUGUAAAACUGAGAUGUAGAGACAAUGGAAAUUUUUGCUGUGUUUUUAUUAAUGAUAUGCAUGAC